Molecule: ribosomal RNA, 253 nt
Filed under: uncultured bacterium
Lineage: Bacteria
Description: partial 16S ribosomal RNA
Rfam family: Bacterial small subunit ribosomal RNA
Source: RNAcentral
UACAGAGGUCCCAAGCGUUGUUCGGAUUCACUGGGCGUAAAGGGUGCGUAAGCGGUCGGGUAAGUCUGACGUGAAAUCUUCAAGCUUAACUUGGAAACUGCGUCGGAUACUAUUCGGCUGGAGGAAUGGAGGGGAGACUGGAAUACUUGGUGUGGCAGUGAAAUGCGUAGAUAUCAAGUGGAACACCAGUGGCGAAGGCGAGUCUCUGGACAUUUCCUGACGCUGAGGCACGAAAGCCAGGGGAGCAAACGGG